AUGGCUUACAGGCUGGUAUCCAGAUAGUUGAACAAUGCCUGUCUAACAACAAUGUCCAAUAAUCCAAUAGUUGUUCAGUCUGUGAGGCUGGAUAUCUUAGCUGGUCUUCAGUAUGUGCCAGAAUCCCAAAGAAGUAGGCUCUAGUGGAAUGGAUUUGCUAGUGAGAGUGAGAGCAAGCAGGCAGAGAACAAGCUUCCUUCUUCCAUGUCCUUAUAUAGGCUGCCACCAGAAGGUGUGGCCCAGAUUAAAGGUGCAUCUCCCCACCUCAAAAGAUCGGGAUUAAAAGUGGGUCUUCCCACUCCAAAUGAUUUAAUUAAGGGGAAAAAACAAAAACAAAAACAAAACUCCCUCACAGGUGUGCCCAGCUGUUUGGGUUUUAGUUAAUUCAGAGUAUAGUCAAGUUGACACCAUGAACAGCCACCAACUACCAGGGUUUCUCAUGGGUGAGCCAGGUGUGUCUGAAUCUGCUCCUAUUAAAAUGCAGAUUCCUGGCCUGUGCUCCACACUACUUCUCCGUGAUCUCAUUAAGUAGUACAGGCUGGUCUCAAACUUAAAAUCCUCCUGCCUCCGCCUCCUGAGUGCAUACUACAUAGCUCCUUGGGUCCUCCUGAAGCUUGGCAGUGUGAGAGCUGGGCCUGUAGGGAUGGUUAUCCCAAGCAAGCUUUUCUGAAGAACAUGGGGCCUUCUGUUUGGAGGAUCCGAGCUCGCCAGCCUUGUAUCUCUGACUGAAAACUCUCCCACAAACUUUGCCAGGAUCCCAGGGCUCAUUGCUAGAAAGGGGCGUGGCCUUUGGGACUAGUCACUGUGAGUCAUUUAACCAUGGGAACCACCAAGGGAGAGAGGAAGCAGCCAGCUCCCCCCAGAAGCCUCCAUGGUGCAGGAUUAACUUGGAGCCCAGUCCCCAGGUGGCUUCCCACACCUUUCUUGGGCUGAACAUGAGGCAAACGACCUUGUCCAAGUUCUACUGGGAAGUGGGACACUCAGCACAUCGGUCUUCAUCCCCACCAUGGACAACCUGGCCUCCUGUCCACAGGACACAACACAAACAGCAGAAAGGACAGCCUCUGGACAGUGCAAGCCUGAUUUAGACAACUGCCAAGCAGCAACAGGAGAGAAUGGAGGACUGCAGACUGGCAGCAGUAGCAGCAGCAGCCAGCUUUGGAGACAAACUCAUUGUGCCGCUGAUACAGGAAAGCCUUGAACAAAGUUUUCUCAAGAUUGAAGUCUGCAUAAGCACUGAGAUUUCUGGUUACGGUAUAUUCACAGGAAGAGACCAGACCUUGGGCAUGGGGCUCCUGACCAAGAAAGAGGCUGUGGACCUGUGAUGGCUAGUCUCUGUUGUCAACUGGACUACAUCUGGAAUGAACUAAAACCCACAGCUGGAUACACCAGCAAGGGAUCUUUUUCUUAAUUACAUCACUUGUAAGUAAAAGUGGGAUGACCACUUUUAAUCUGAAUCUUUUGGGGUGGGAAGAUCCACCUUUGGCGGGGACCACACCUCCUGCUGGCAGCCGGUACCAAGCACAGCUCCCAGCUCGUGGUGAGAAGAAGCCUGCUUGCCCUUGCUCUCACUCUUGCUGGCAAGUCCAUUCUGUCACUGGCAUCAGCCCUACAU
RNAcentral lists this long non-coding RNA (1615 nucleotides) under Cricetulus griseus (Chinese hamster). Its description in RNAcentral is "lncRNA (ENSCGRG00015037938.1)". The record is from RNAcentral. Lineage: Eukaryota; Metazoa; Chordata; Mammalia; Rodentia; Cricetidae.